CCCUUAGAUGUUCUGGGCCGCACGCGCGCUACACUGAAGGGAUCAGCGUGUUUUCCCUUUCCGAGAGGAACGGGUAACCCGUUGAACCCCCUUCGUGGUAGGGAUCGGAGCUUGCAAUUGUUCUCCGUGAACCAGGAAUUCCCAGUAAGCGCAAGUCAUAAGCUUGCGUUGAUUACGUCCCUGCCCUUUGUACACACCGCCCGUCGCUACUACCGAUUGAACGUUUUAGUGAGGUAUUUGGACUGGGCCUUGGGAGGUUUCGGCCUCCCUUGUUGCUCGGAAAGACUCCCAAACUUGAGCGUUUAGAGGAAGUAAAAGUCGUAACA
RNAcentral lists this ribosomal RNA (326 nucleotides) under uncultured eukaryote. RNAcentral's name for it is "partial 18S ribosomal RNA". It matches the Rfam family "Eukaryotic small subunit ribosomal RNA", at positions 1470 to 1796 of the family's 1831-position model. The record is from RNAcentral.